AGCAGCCGCGGUAAUUCCAGCUCCAAUAGCGUAUAUUAAAGUUGUUGCAGUUAAAAAGCUCGUAGUUGAAUUUCGGGAUCAGUACGCUGGUCGUGCCUUUGGUAUGUACUGGUGUCACUGAUUCCUCCCUUCUGAAGAACCGUUAUGCCAUUUAUUUGGUGUGGCGGGAAAUCAGGACUGUUACUUUGAAAAAUUAGAGUGUUUAAAGCAGGCUCGCGCUUGAAUACAUUAGCAUGGAAUAAUGAAAUAGGACGUUUGAUCUUAUUUUGUUGGUUUCUAGGAUCGACGUAAUGAUUAAUAGGGAUAGUUGGGGGCAUUAGUAUUCAAUUGUCAGAGGUGAAAUUCUUGGAUUUAUUGAAGACUAACUACUGCGAAAGCAUUUGCCAAGGAUGUUUUCAUUAAUCAAGAACGAAAGUUAGGGGAUCGAAGACGAUCAGAUACCGUCGUAGUCUUAACCAUAAACUAUGCCGACUAGGGAUCGGAUGAUGUUAAUUUUUUAAUGACUCAUUCGGCGCCUUAC
RNAcentral lists this ribosomal RNA (520 nucleotides) under uncultured Glomus. RNAcentral describes it as "SSU rRNA". It matches the Rfam family "Eukaryotic small subunit ribosomal RNA", at positions 569 to 1091 of the family's 1831-position model. Lineage: Eukaryota; Fungi; Glomeromycota; Glomeromycetes; Glomerales; Glomeraceae. The record is from RNAcentral.